RNAcentral lists this ribosomal RNA (499 nucleotides) under uncultured bacterium. Its description in RNAcentral is "bacterial SSU rRNA". It matches the Rfam family "Bacterial small subunit ribosomal RNA", at positions 28 to 536 of the family's 1533-position model. The record is from RNAcentral.
GAUGAACGCUGGCGGCGUGCCUCAAACAUGCAAGUCGAGCGGGGCUAUGUAAUACCGCAAGGUAGAACAUAGCCUAGCGGCGAACGGGUGAGUAACACGUGGGUAACCUGCCUGGAAGACAGGGAUAACGAUUCGAAAGGGUCGCUAAUACCUGAUAAUAUCCUUUCAUCGCAUGGUGAUAGGAAGAAAGGGGAAACCCGCUUUCAGAUGGGCCCGCGUCCCAUCAGCUAGUUGGUAAGGUAAAGGCUUACCAAGGCGACGACGGGUAGCCGGUCUGAGAGGAUGUACGGCCACACUGGGACUGAGAUACGGCCCAGACUCCUACGGGAGGCAGCAGUUGGGAAUCUUAGGCAAUGGACGAAAGUCUGACCUAGCGACGCCGCGUGAGGGAGAAGGCCUUCGGGUUGUAAACCUCUGUCAUGGGGAAGAAGUAAGUGACGGUACCCAAGAGGAAGCCCCUGCUAACUACGUGCCAGCAGCCGCGGUAAGGAGUAGUACA